CUCUUUCUUUCUCCAAAUUUAGUUUUUCAGUGAUUAGACUCUUAGAUCUCAAAGAUGUUGGUUGGGCCCCAUUCUCCUCAAUCAUGUAUUCAAGUAAUUUUCCCCCUCUCUCCCUCUCUUCAAUCUCCACUUCUUUUUCAGGAAGGUUCAACCUCUCUCUAAUAUAUCCCCUAUUGUAUGAUCCAUUUCUUUGGCCUUUCUUUCUCUCCGAUCUUCUGUGCUGUUGUUUGGGCCUUGUUCACCUCAAUCUUGUAUUCAAGUUAAAUUGAUUGGAUAUCCCCUUGUUUUCCUCAAGUUCAGACAAAGUUAUAAAUGAGAAUGAGAUUUGUAAAUGGUAGAAAUACAGCCAUGUUUCUGGUUGAUCAGCAAACCAAUCAACCAGACCGACCGCACUGCAUCUGCAUGUUUGGCGGGCCUAAAGCAAAUUAGGCCAACCUGUCUGCACAAAAUUUUCAAAAGGACGGUGCGGUUUAAUAAAAAUGAGCACCAAUGACGUCGGUGCGGUGCAAAAAGAAGGACCAAAAAGCCAAUUGCACCUCACGGAUUACACCACCAUGCAUGAGCUUAAGACUGCACCUUAAGCUCCUCACACUUAUCUUAGAAAGAAAGAUUAAUCAUACUAUUUGAUUUUCUUUCUAGGCUGAAACCGCAAAAUUGUAAAAAGGAAUUGAUUUUAUUAAAAAUCUAAAACCUUCCUUACAACUUACACAUUCCUUACAACUUACCCAAGAGCUCUGUAGCCUGAAUAGCACUUCUCUAUGUUUUUAUUCUCUUUAGCCAUUGUAGCUAUUAAAUUAUCAAAAAAAAACCUUCCCUACGA
Molecule: long non-coding RNA, 820 nt
Organism: Quercus robur (English oak)
Lineage: Eukaryota; Viridiplantae; Streptophyta; Magnoliopsida; Fagales; Fagaceae
Exons: 3
Source: RefSeq, a predicted model, not a curated record